RNAcentral lists this long non-coding RNA (322 nucleotides) under Lathyrus oleraceus (garden pea). RNAcentral's name for it is "Pisum sativum (pea) long non-coding RNA (PSAT_LNC041171)". Lineage: Eukaryota; Viridiplantae; Streptophyta; Magnoliopsida; Fabales; Fabaceae. The record is from RNAcentral.
CACGACCAGACAUCUCUCGGAUGAAUGGGAUGAAAGAAACCACGACCAGACAUCUCUCGAUGAAUGGGAAGAAAGUAACCACAACCAGACAUCAACAGAAGAAUGGGAAGAAAGCAACCACGACCAGACAUCUCUCGAUGAAUGGGAAGAAAGAAACCACGACCAGACAUCUCUCGGAUGAAUGGGAAGAAAGAAACCACGACCAGACAUCAACAGAUGAAUGGGAAGAAAGAAACCACGACCAGACAUCUCUCGAUGAAUGGGAAGAAAGAAACCACGACCAGACAUCAACGGAUGAAUGGGAAGAAAGAAACCACGACCA